This 316-nucleotide ribosomal RNA is filed under the name uncultured Pseudomonas sp. RNAcentral describes it as "bacterial SSU rRNA". It matches the Rfam family "Bacterial small subunit ribosomal RNA", at positions 1066 to 1382 of the family's 1533-position model. The record is from RNAcentral. Lineage: Bacteria; Pseudomonadati; Pseudomonadota; Gammaproteobacteria; Pseudomonadales; Pseudomonadaceae.
CGUGAGAUGUUGGGUUAAGUCCCGUAACGAGCGCAACCCUUGUCCUUAGUUACCAGCACGUUAUGGUGGGCACUCUAAGGAGACUGCCGGUGACAAACCGGAGGAAGUGGGGAUGACGUCAAGUCAUCAUGGCCCUUACGGCCUGGGCUACACACGUGCUACAAUGGUCGGUACAAAGGGUUGCCAAGCCGCGAGGUGGAGCUAAUCCCAUAAAACCGAUCGUAGUCCGGAUCGCAGUCUGCAACUCGACUGCGUGAAGUCGGAAUCGCUAGUAAUCGUGAAUCAGAAUGUCACGGUGAAUACGUUCCCGGGCCUU